Molecule: non-coding RNA, 108 nt
Organism: Neodidymelliopsis sp. IMI 364377
Lineage: Eukaryota; Fungi; Ascomycota; Dothideomycetes; Pleosporales; Didymellaceae
Source: the annotation of a GenBank genome assembly
GUCUCCGUGGCGCAAUGGUAGCGCGUUGGACUUCUACCUUCUCUAUCGCCGUUUUCAAAAUGGUUCUGGGUCAUCCAAAGGCUGCGGGUUCGAGCCCCGCCGGAGAUG